This 425-nucleotide ribosomal RNA is filed under the name uncultured bacterium. RNAcentral's name for it is "bacterial SSU rRNA". It matches the Rfam family "Bacterial small subunit ribosomal RNA", at positions 228 to 645 of the family's 1533-position model. The record is from RNAcentral.
GGCCGAUGUCUGAUUAGCUAGUUGGUAGGGUAAAAGCUUACCAAGGCAACGAUCAGUAGUUGGUCUGAGAGGAUGGCCAACCACACUGGGACUGAGACACGGCCCAGACUCCUACGGGAGGCAGCAGUGGGGAAUUUUGGACAAUGGGGGAAACCCUGAUCCAGCAAUGCCGCGUGAGUGAAGAAGGCCUUCGGGUUGUAAAGCUCUUUCAGUCGAGAAGAAAAGAUUACGACUAAUAAUCAUAAUUAAUGACGGUAUCGACAGAAGAAGCACCGGCUAACUACGUGCCAGCAGCCGCGGUAAUACGUAGGGUGCGAGCGUUAAUCGGAAUUACUGGGCGUAAAGGGUGCGCAGGCGGUUGUGUAAGUCAGAUGUGAAAUCCCCGGGCUUAACCUGGGAAUUGCGUUUGAAACUACAAAGCUAGA